GGGGUUGUGGUUCAGCGAUAGAGUGCUCGCCUGGCACAUGUGCGAGAGACCCUGGGUUCAAUCCUCAGCACCACA
RNAcentral lists this transfer RNA (75 nucleotides) under Marmota monax (woodchuck). Its description in RNAcentral is "tRNA.Ala". Lineage: Eukaryota; Metazoa; Chordata; Mammalia; Rodentia; Sciuridae. The record is from RNAcentral.